RNAcentral lists this ribosomal RNA (98 nucleotides) under Cantharellus ferruginascens. RNAcentral's name for it is "partial 5.8S ribosomal RNA". The record is from RNAcentral. Lineage: Eukaryota; Fungi; Basidiomycota; Agaricomycetes; Cantharellales; Hydnaceae.
GAAUCAUCGAGUCUUUGAACGCAAACGGCACCCUUCCAGUCCAUUCCAAAGCGGUGGCUGAGGAUGAAGACAAGGGUAUCUCUGUCUGAGGGUAAUGG